Molecule: ribosomal RNA, 215 nt
Filed under: Eupatorium altissimum
Lineage: Eukaryota; Viridiplantae; Streptophyta; Magnoliopsida; Asterales; Asteraceae
Description: partial internal transcribed spacer 2
Source: RNAcentral
AUCACGUCGCCCACAUCAAACAUCCAUGAUGUAUGUGGGCGGAGACUGGUCUCCCGUGCCCAUACGGUGCGGUUGGCCCAAAUACGAGUCCGCUUAAGAGUGACGCACGACUGGUGGUGGUUGAUUACACAGUCGUCUCGUGCCGUGCGUCUCGAUUCUUGACGGUAUAGCUCUUGUAGUACCCUAACGCGUCGUCUUGUGACGGCUCUUCGAUC